RNAcentral lists this ribosomal RNA (425 nucleotides) under uncultured bacterium. Its description in RNAcentral is "partial 16S ribosomal RNA". It matches the Rfam family "Bacterial small subunit ribosomal RNA", at positions 354 to 796 of the family's 1533-position model. The record is from RNAcentral.
GUGGGGAAUCUUGCGCAAUGGGCGAAAGCCUGACGCAGCCAUGCCGCGUGAAUGAUGAAGGUCUUAGGAUUGUAAAAUUCUUUCACCGGGGACGAUAAUGACGGUACCCGGAGAAGAAGCCCCGGCUAACUUCGUGCCAGCAGCUGCGGUAAUACGACGGGGGCUAGCGUUGCUCGGAAUUACUGGGCGUAAAGGGCGCGUAGGCGGACAGUUUAGUCAGAGGUGAAAGCCCAGGGCUCAACCUUGGAAUUGCCUUUGAUACUGGCUGUCUUGAGUACGGGAGAGGUGAGUGGAACGCCGAGUGUAGAGGUGAAAUUCGUAGAUAUUCGGAAGAACACCAGUGGCGAAGGCGACUCACUGGCCCGUUACUGACGCUGAGGCGCGAAAGCGUGGGGAGCAAACAGGAUUAGAAACCCGGGUAGUCC